RNAcentral lists this ribosomal RNA (253 nucleotides) under uncultured bacterium. RNAcentral's name for it is "partial 16S ribosomal RNA". It matches the Rfam family "Bacterial small subunit ribosomal RNA", at positions 524 to 776 of the family's 1533-position model. The record is from RNAcentral.
UACAGAGGUCUCAAGCGUUGUUCGGAUUCAUUGGGCGUAAAGGGAGCGUAGGUGGCGGGGUAAGUCGGGUGUGAAAUCUCGGGGCUCAACCCCGAAACUGCACUUGAUACUGCCUUGCUCGAGUACUGGAGAGGAGAUCGGAAUUUACGGUGUAGCAGUGAAAUGCGUAGAUAUCGUAAGGAAGACCAGUGGCGAAGGCGGAUCUCUGGACAGUUACUGACACUGAGGCUCGAAGGCCAGGGGAGCAAACGGG